UUUGUGGUUUUGAUUUUAGUAUCAGAUACACAACCCAAAAGUUCUCAGGAUAGUGUUUUUGAAAUGCAGCGUGAAACAUAUACUACUAAACUUUUUAGUUUAAAAAAAGAACUUGACACUUUGCAAAUACAAUAUGAUAAAUUUAAGUUAGAUAAUGCUGAUGGUCGUCAUAAUAAUGAUUUGAAAAUGAAUAGAAAAUUGCAGGUAUUAUUUGUUAUUUAUUUGUCAUUCUUGAAGUAUGAAAUGUAUUUAUAUUGAAUAAAUUUAUAAAUACAUGAUACAUUCUACCUAAUUUAUUUAUUGAAGGAUGAUGUAAAUGGGAAAAUCAAAGGCGUAACUAAUAUUCUUGAAGUAUUGAACACAAUGAUUCCUAAAGACUCUUUAAAAGAAGUUAAAAAAAUUGAACCUAAAAAAAUAGUAAUUUUGAAAAAUAUAUUAUAUUUGAUUUAAUUUAUAUAUAAUUAUUAUAAAUAAUUUUAGACAGCGGAACCUGAAUAUCUAAAAACUCCAACUGAAACAUUACAACAAAAAGAAAUUCUACCCAUACAUAAACAUCGCCGCCAUAGUACAUCUUCUUCGUCUUCAAGAGAAUUUAAAAAAAAACGUAAAUCUAUCAAAUCAAAAAAAAUAUUAAGAGUACAAUCUUCUUCAGAAGAAGAAACUGAUUCUAAAAAAUUAUAUAAAUCUAAGGAAUUGAUUGACACCAAUAAAAACAAAUUUCGUAAUGAAAAACUUCCUCAAUUUAAGUAUAUUUAUUGUGAUUCGUGUAUUCAUUGGUGUCAGCCUUGUAAUAUCUUUCCAAAAACUGCAAAAGACUAUUUAACACAUUUACAUAGUAAAUCUCAUAAAACAACUAUUGAGGUUAGUAACUUUUGUCUAUUGAACUCAUAAAAAAAAUGAUAUUUUUUUUUAUAAAUUAAUUUAAAACUUUAUGUUGCUAUAUAUAGGAGUUAAAUGUUGUUGAAUUACCCUGGCAUGAUUCUCAAACAAAUAUUGAACAGCCUCAAACAAAUUCUGAUUUAGAAAUUAAACGAGUACCUAUAAAAGGUAAUUUUAAAUUUUAUUAUUGAUUAAUUUUAGUGAAUUAUAGAUUUUGAUAUAUAAUAAUUAUAAAAUACAUGUUAUUACUAAUACAAAAUUAUCACAUAGGGCUAAUUAAUUUAAAUCUUAAGAAAAAUUUUAAUGGACAAGUGAUAGAUGUAACUCUAAUAUACAUUUAAGGUUUGGAGCGUAUACUGUAUUGGUUAACUAUGAUACAAACUUUUCUACCAGAAAUCUUUUCAGAAAGACAAUUUUAUCUAUUAGUUACUUUAGGGAGGUUAUUUUUCGAUUUUCCAAGCAGUUUUCAAAAUAAUUUAGCAAAACCAAAAAAUACAUAGAAAGAACAAAAAAAAUACUUUUAUAAUUUUCA
Molecule: non-coding RNA, 1411 nt
Organism: Cinara cedri
Lineage: Eukaryota; Metazoa; Arthropoda; Insecta; Hemiptera; Aphididae
Source: the annotation of a GenBank genome assembly